CGAGAAUGACCACAAGUGGAGCUUGUGGCAGUGCUUUUUAGCUUGCUUUUUUCUUCCAGCUGUGAAGACGGAAAGCUGGACACUUUGCAGGAGAUGGAUGGCUUUGAGAGAGUUCAGAAAAAAUUUGCUCCCGGUGAAAUAGAAAGAGAGAAGAUAGAGCAGCUGGAAAGGAUGGUCUUGGACCUCCAACAGGACGUCCUCUCUCUAAAGAAGAAGGUACAGAGGAUGGAAUCCCUGUCCUUCCAGGAGGAGCCCCACCGGCAGCCCUGCGAGGUGGUAGAGCUCUUCAAUGGCUACACCAAAGAACAGCUCCGAGAAGCAAUCCGCUUUGACCAGAAGAUCAGCACUGCCUGCAAGACGCUGCUCUACAAGCUCUUCACAUCCGACUACAUCCAGAGCCACUCCAUCACGGGGCGCAGAGGCAACACUUUCCGAGAGGCGAAGCCCAUGAUGGAUGAGCGCUGCAUCAAAAUCAUCAGGGUGCUGCUGAAACAGAAGUUUGGGGACCACCUCAGCGACACGGUGAUCACUGAGAAGAUACAAAACGUGCAGAAAGCUCUGAGGCAGAAGUUUAAGACGGAAUGUCUCUGACGUGGGGGUGAUUUGGUGUCUCUGGUCCUACUCUUCUCAUUGAUGCGCCUGAGCAUCCCUCCCAGAAAUACCGUGUGUGCGUUGCUGCUGCUUGGCUGAUUGCUCCUGAGGCACUGAAGAUGAUACAAACCUUCCACAGUCGUCUACCUGCAUUAAUCAGAGGGAAGUUUGCUCAGCUUAGCUCCAGGUUUGCACAUCUGCCAGCACUUUACCAGUUCCUUCCACUCCAGCCUGUGUGCCAGUCUCAAUUCAUGGAUGGCUGGGUGUUGAUCCCUGCAUCUUCUUGAUGGACACAUUCAAAAGAUGGAAAUUUACCAUUGGAUCCAAGCAUGGGGUGGUGAGCCAGCCUUGUUCUACCUUGCAGUGGCCAGGGAGGGAGAUUGGUGAUGGCAGAGGAGCUGUAGCCCCAAGAAAGCAGCAGCUCCAUUCGCACAGGAACUUGGUAGCACCCAACGUGACUUCUCCCUGCAUGGCACAGCAGUCCUCUCCCUUUUUGAAUGCAUACUGCAGCUUCUCAUGGUAACAGAAGGGCAGGCUCAUUAACACAAUGCCAUAAAACCUUCAGAGAAGGAUUCUUUCUUUUUUCUUUUUUUUUUUUUUCCCCUCUGCUUUAAUGUGGCUGUCUGGAAGAAGCGUCUGCACUAACAAAGUCUGCUGAACAAGAGAAGGUCUUUUAUGGAAGUUACAUCGCAUUGGUUUUCUUUUUAAAACUAGAUUAUCUCCAUGGAGAAAUCCUGCAUGUUUCAGUGAAUGGGGCAAGCAAUGGGGGCAAAAACUGGCCAACUGCAGGUACACCUUUCCUUCAAAGAUCAGACACAUCAUGAUGCAGCCGUUAUAAUUUAAGUACAGUGUUUCUAUCCUAACUAAGAAAUGAGGUAGAAUCAGCUGUUUGUUUUUUUUUUUCUGUGUGAGAGGCUGAGAGAAAGGACUAGGAAAAAAACAUCAUUUUUUUUCCUGAACAGAUUAGAGUUGGGGUCUGGGUGCAUUAAAAGUGUUUUUAACAUUAAAAGAAUAACAGUCUGGCACUAAUCCACCUGACAGAAAUGCUGCAAAUUACCAAACGUUUCCUUUGAAAGAAGCUUCUCAGACGUGAAUUAUUUCUUAAUUUUGAAAUUAUUCAGACAAGGAAAUGUCAGUUGCUUUGAGUUAAAAUGUUUGGUUUAAUUUAUGUAUUUUUCUCUGUUUCCAGUGUUUAAUAUCUUCACGGCCACACAAGAGAUAAUAGUGCAAAAUAAAUGUACUGAAAAUAGGGAGAAAAAAAAAAAG
Molecule: long non-coding RNA, 1857 nt
Organism: Chrysolophus pictus (golden pheasant)
Lineage: Eukaryota; Metazoa; Chordata; Aves; Galliformes; Phasianidae
Source: Ensembl